Molecule: ribosomal RNA, 253 nt
Filed under: uncultured bacterium
Lineage: Bacteria
Description: partial 16S ribosomal RNA
Rfam family: Bacterial small subunit ribosomal RNA
Source: RNAcentral
UACGGAGGGUGCAAGCGUUGUUCGGAAUUACUGGGCGUAACGCGCGUGUAGGCGGUUUCCUCAGUCUGGUGUGAACGCCCGGGGCUCACCCCCGGAAGUUCAUCGGAUACUGGGAGACUAGAGUACCGGAGAGGAGGGUGGAAUUCCUGGUGGAGCGGUGAAAUGCGUAGAUAUCAGGAGGAACACCGGUGGCGAAGGCGGCACUCUGGACGGAUACUGACGCUGAGACGCGAAAGCGUGGGGAGCAAACAGG